This is a non-coding RNA of Benincasa hispida (wax gourd), 3755 nucleotides long. The record is from RefSeq and is a predicted model, not a curated record. Lineage: Eukaryota; Viridiplantae; Streptophyta; Magnoliopsida; Cucurbitales; Cucurbitaceae.
UUUUAACUGUGGCGCUGCUCCUUUUCGCUUUUCCCUCUCCCUCUCGAACUCUCCCUCCCUUUUUUUCGCAAUUUACAGAACCUCAUGCCAUAUCCAUGGCUUCCACAACUAUGGUUGCUUCCCCUUCCAACGAUAGUUUCCGCAUGAAUCCUCUUCCGAUCAUAGAUCUCCGUCUCCUCUCUCAAUCCGAGCUCUAUUGUCUUUCCCGUUUCUCCUCAUCCUCAUCAUCUUCUUCUUCAACCUCCCAAUCCAACAACGAAGACGACGUUCUAAUCCCCAAAAUUGAUCGAUCUGUCUUCAAUGAGUCCGCUGGUAGCCGUAAACAAACCUAUUCUCGUCUCCGUUUAGCCCCUCGCAAACCCCAAUUUUCUUCCUCUUCAUCCUCCUCCACAAUUCGCCCUCAAUCCCCUGACCGCCUUGAUACAGAGAGCGCUCAAAUUGUUACUCUAUUUAAGCAACUCUUUGUUGGAGAUCCUCAUUGUGCCGUCAACGAUAGCUACGGCGACGGAGAUGAGGACCUGGUACUUGUUAACCAUAUUUACGACGAAUCGGUACCUGAUUCUUCCUACGCUAUUUUCCAAAGUAUUCCUGUUGAUAUUAUUGAUAGCAGUUACGCCCCGAUUAAGCGGCGGAGAGGUCGACCGCGGAAGGAUAGCAAUCGGUUUGCUCAGAGUAAUGGAAAUGCGGCUCCGGAAUUCAAAAGCGGAUGCGAUAAACCGGCGGCGGCGGCGGCGGAGGAGGAGGAGGAGGAGAUCGUAAUGGUAAUGCUGUGAACCUGGUCGCUUCGACCUUCCUGUAGAUUGAGGUUGGUUACACUGAUUGAUCGACCACGUUGACAAUUGAUCAAUUUUGGUUGACACCAACGUGAAAAUGGGGAAAAAAAAGUCAAAGAAAAGAGAAAGAAGAAAGGAAAAGAGAAGGGGAUAAUAAAUGGAGGAAACGAGCUACCAAAGAAGAUUGGAAAAAAAAAGGGAAAGAAUUUGAGAUGAAAAGGGAAAAGGUUUUGGAUAUACGUGGAGGUUAUACUAAUUGGUUGUAUUCUUUCUACAAAAGAUGGAUAUGUGUUGGAACCGGCUACCCUCCGACAGACAGGAUUUCAUGGCAGCGAACAGUCUCGAACGGCAGUCGUAACCUCCUUAAAACCAAUUAUAUAACUGGAUGCCGAAGCCAUCAAUGGUUUAUAAUAUCUAUUGCUACAUUCUCAUCAACCUUACAGCCACGUUCAAUUCAUGGUGACAAGCUUCUUUGGUCUCUCUAUGCCUCAAAAGUUUAGCAACACCAAAACUUCUAGAACCCAAAUUCUCAAAAACUUCGUACAUGUCCAUUUUUGGAUAGACCCACAAGAAGAAAAAAGAACAAAACUGAAUAGCAAAAUAGUCGGUGAGAGAUUUUUCUUACCAUAUAACCCAAUUUCAUCCUCUUGAGGUUACAUUUACUUGAUGACUAAUGCAUGGAAGACUUGACCGAUGCCCUUCUUUUUUUUUUUUCACACCACGCCACGCCCAACUAGAUAGACGGUGGUGGUGCACGUGUGGGAUGUCCACCAUACCUAUAUUUACCUAUCUCCUCACUCCCUUUAAAACAUGGGUACUCCUUGGGGCUCAAACCCAUAACUCAAGGUGAAAGUAUAAGAAAGAGACUCCUAUUUCAAAAUUAAGCAACAUGAGAUUCUCGGCCAAAGUUUUUUUUUUUCUUUUUUUUUUAAAACUUGAAUUUUCGCCAACAAUAUGUUAUUACUAGAGCUGAAAUCCAAGAUGGAUGCUUCUGACAUUUCCCCUCCUUUCCUUUUUCACCCCGUGGUUGUUUUUAUUUAAAUUGGGACCAGAUAAUAGUAUAUGAUGUGAUUUAUAUACCACUACGGAGGAAGAAUGUUCUAAUUGGAAGUUAAUGGUAGGAGAAUUUCAAAAGAAUUCAGGUUUGCAUAUUAAUCGUCUUAAGUUCUCUAUAGCUAGCAUUAACAUAUCGAAUAGAAUAACUGCGAGGAGGGUUGUUGUACUAGGUCAUAAAUAAGAAAAGCAUCUUCAAUUAUUCUGGUAUCCCUUUUGAUAGACAUCCUACUCUGCAUUUUGGGAAUGUGUUAUAGAGUAGAUGUCUCGUAUUUCUCGAAAGAGCAAUGGGAUUUGGUAUGAAACUUAUGAGAUCGAUGUAAGUAUUUGCCUGGUGAACUAAAUGGAAGAAGACUUGGAUUUCCAAGGGAGAGAGAAUAGCUAUUAGAGCCCAAUUAGUGUUGUCAAAACAUCCCAUCUGUUAUUUGCCUCUCUCCAAAAUUAUAGCUGAAUGAAGUAAGAACAUGAAUAAGAUUCCUUAUUAUGACUAUUGUGAUAAUUAUGAAUGUUUUGGCUAGCAUACAUACACCUUGUCUUUUUUCUGCAAGGUAAUGCUUGACUCUAAUUUCAUCCAAAACUUUUGAUAUAGUUUGAAGUCUUGACCUUCAAAAGCAUCUUGGCUUUCAGCUGGACCUCAUCCAUGGUUAUUAGCAUCAGGAAGAUAAUAAGAGGCUUCUGCAUGGGAUGGGUCUUAUUUUGGUUACGAAGGCAACUUUUUAUUAUUAAGUAAGGAGCUUUUUCCCUCAAGAGUUUGGGGACUUGCUAGCAAAUGGAUUUAGAUGUCCGUGCUAUGAAAGGAAACUCUUUAGAGAGAUGUUAUGAAAGCAUUUGCAGAUAAUAUCUAUGGUGUUCAUUGGUAUACUAGAAAUGAUAACUGAGCCUGUCAUUGAGAGUCAGCUGCCUCAUGUUGCUUAAAGAAUUAGUUGCUGUUAAUUGCUCAAUUUGGUGGAUUAAUCCGUUUUGUCGCAAGCAUAUGAUUACAAAAAUGAGUGUCUUUGAGACUUGAGUUCUGCUUCCUCUAGGAUCCAUGGCAUUGAUGCCAUUACUUGUUUUUGCAUGUACCGUGCGUAGGAUUUAAACUUUAUUGAUAUUGGUUAACCAACUCUAUUGUACAUGAACAUCACCACAAUAUUAUUUAGACACUUUUUUCUAUAUUAUAAGAAUACCUCUACACAUCAAGACACUCAUGACAACUUUUUCCUUCUAUCUAGUAACAUUUUAACGAAUUGAUUUAUUAGUGAAAAAGUCGAAAGCACUUCCACAAUGGUUACCACAAGCAAAAAUGGUCACCUAGGAUAACAUGAACCCAUUCACAGUUUGGUUAGUUUUUCAGGGUACUUCGUAAUUUAUAAUGUGGUGGAAUGAAGCUGUUCAAAGACUCUCUUGUGUCAUCAAGACCGGUUACUACUAAACCCUAAUGUGGAGGAAUGAAACUGUUCAAGAUUCUCAAGAUUCUCUGUGACGAAGACUUUUUGUAAUUAUCAAAAAGGAUCAUAGUUCUUUAGGAGCUUAGGCAGACGUGGGCAGAGAUGUAGACUAAGCUGAAGUGUAUAGAUUUUUUUAGAUAAUUGGUUAUGAUUAACCUAGCUGAUGAAGGAGAAUGAUCUCGAAUCUUUUGCUAGACAGAAUCGGCUGGAAACUUUUGCUUUCUCGCUAGAGAGAGACAAGAUCUAUGCACGAGUCGAUGCUGAUAUGGCUCUUCUUUACACACCUUGCUGCUUUAUUGGAGUUAUUAAGAUUACAAUUUUGUCACUCAAGUAGGAAAGAUACUGUGCAUAGUUAGUAAUCUUAUCAAAGUUAUUUUUAGUUGGACUAUGUCUUUGCUUGAACUACUCAAGUGUUAGAGCAAAAUUUGACGGUGCAAUUGUAACAAGAUUUAUACUCGAAAUAUUAUUCCCAGUUGCUUGAAUUGAUUUCAUUGGAAACUCA